RNAcentral lists this ribosomal RNA (99 nucleotides) under uncultured bacterium. RNAcentral's name for it is "partial 16S ribosomal RNA". It matches the Rfam family "Bacterial small subunit ribosomal RNA", at positions 405 to 517 of the family's 1533-position model. The record is from RNAcentral.
GGGAUGACGGCCUUCGGGUUGUAAACCUCUUUCGCAGGGACGAAGCGAAAGUGACGGUACCUGCAGAAGAAGGACCGGCCAACUACGUGCCAGCAGCCG